GACGAACGCUGGCGGCGUGCUUAACACAUGCAAGUCGAACGGAAAGGCCCUGCUUUUGUGGGGUGCUCGAGUGGCGAACGGGUGAGUAACACGUGAGUAACCUGCCCUUGACUUUGGGAUAACUUCAGGAAACUGGGGCUAAUACCGGAUAGGAGCUCCUGCUGCAUGGUGGGGGUUGGAAAGUUUCGGCGGUUGGGGAUGGACUCGCGGCUUAUCAGCUUGUUGGUGGGGUAGUGGCUUACCAAGGCUUUGACGGGUAGCCGGCCUGAGAGGGUGACCGGCCACAUUGGGACUGAGAUACGGCCCAGACUCCUACGGGAGGCAGCAGUGGGGAAUAUUGCACAAUGGGCGGAAGCCUGAUGCAGCAACGCCGCGUGCGGGAUGACGGCCUUCGGGUUGUAAACCGCUUUCGCCUGUGACGAAGCGUGAGUGACGGUAAUGGGUAAAGAAGCACCGGCUAACUACGUGCCAGCAGCCGCGGUGAUACGUAGGGUGCGAGCGUUGUCCGGAUUUAUUGGGCGUAAAGGGCUCGUAGGUGGUUGAUCGCGUCGGAAGUGUAAUCUUGGGGCUUAACCCUGAGCGUGCUUUCGAUACGGGUUGACUUGAGGAAGGUAGGGGAGAAUGGAAUUCCUGGUGGAGCGGUGGAAUGCGCAGAUAUCAGGAGGAACACCAGUGGCGAAGGCGGUUCUCUGGGCCUUUCCUGACGCUGAGGAGCGGAAGCGUGGGGAGCGAACAGGCUUAGAUACCCUGGUAGUCCACGCUGUAAACGGUGGGUACUAGGUGUGGGGUCCAUUCCACGGGUUCCGUGCCGUAGCUAACGCUUUAAGUACCCCGCCUGGGGAGUACGGCCGCAAGACUAAAACUCAAAGGAAUUGACGGGGCCCCGCACAAGCGGCGGAGCAUGCGGAUUAAUUCGAUGCAACGCGUAGAACCUUACCUGGGUUUGACAUGGAUCGGGAGUGCUCAGAGAUGGGUGUGCCUCUUUUGGGGUCGGUUCACAGGUGGUGCAUGGCUGUCGUCAGCUCGUGUCGUGAGAUGUUGGGUUAAGUCCCGCAACGAGCGCAACCCUUGUUCACUGUUGCCAGCACGUUAUGGUGGGGACUCAGUGGAGACCGCCGGGGUCAACUCGGAGGAAGGUGGGGAUGACGUCAAGUCAUCAUGCCCCUUAUGUCCAGGGCUUCACGCAUGCUACAAUGGCUGGUACAGAGAGUGGCGAGCCUGUGAGGGUGAGCGAAUCUCGGAAAGCCGGUCUCAGUUCGGAUUGGGGUCUGCAACUCGACCUCAUGAAGUCGGAGUCGCUAGUAAUCGCAGAUCAGCAACGCUGCGGUGAAUACGUUCCCGGGGCU
RNAcentral lists this ribosomal RNA (1346 nucleotides) under uncultured bacterium. Its description in RNAcentral is "partial 16S ribosomal RNA". It matches the Rfam family "Bacterial small subunit ribosomal RNA", at positions 28 to 1381 of the family's 1533-position model. The record is from RNAcentral.